This 2223-nucleotide ribosomal RNA is filed under the name human gut metagenome. RNAcentral describes it as "bacterial LSU rRNA". It matches the Rfam family "Bacterial large subunit ribosomal RNA", at positions 1 to 2106 of the family's 2925-position model. The record is from RNAcentral.
GGUUGCUUGCAAGGGCGUAUGGUGGAUGCCUUGGCAGACAGUACCGAUGAAGGACGUUUGAGGCUGCGAUAUGCCUCGGGGAGCCGCCAGCAGGGCUUUGAUCCGAGGAUUUCCGAAUGGGGGAACCCGCCGGCCGUCAUGGGCCGGCACCGCGUUCGCGCGGGGGGUACGCAGGGAAGUGAAACAUCUCAGUACCUGCAGGAAAGGAUGUUCCGUGAGUAGUGGCGAGCGAAAGCGGAUCAGGCCAAACCGCGCGCGUGUGACAGGCGCCAGCCGUUGCGCGCGUGGUGUUGAGGGAGCGUGUGUCCGGGUCCUGGCGGGCCCGGCCGGAGUGAUAAAACGGCGUGUGAGGCGAACCGGAUUGAAUGCCGGGCCGCAGAGGGUGAUGGCCCCGUAGCCGAACGCGCGUCGUCUCCGGAUCGUGUCUCCCAAGUAGCGCGGGACUCGUGGAAUCCCGUGUGAAUCCGCCCCGACCGUGGGGUAAGCCUAGAUAUACCUGUCUGACCGAUAGCGAACUAGUACCGUGAGGGAAAGGUGAAAAGCACCCCGGGAGGGGAGUGAAACAGUCUCUGAAACCGUGCGCUUACAAACCGUCGGAGCCUUUCGGGGUGACGGCGUGCCUAUCGAAAAAUGAGUCUGCGAGUCAGUGGCACGUGGCGAGCGUAACCCGUGUGGGGUACGCGUAGCGAAGGCGAGUCUCAAAAGGCGUUUGAGUCGCGUGUCCUGGACCCGAAGCGGGAUGAUCUAGCCCUGAGCAGGUUGAAGCGCGGGUAAGACCGCGUGGAGGACCGAACCCACCUGGGUUGAAAACCGGGGGGAUGACUUGGGGUUAGGGGUGAAAGGCCAAUCAAAUUCCGUGAUAGCUGGUUCUCUCCGAAAUGCAUUUAGGUGCAGCGUCGGGGAUUACGUCCGGGGGGUAGAGCUACUGGAUGCUUGAGGGCCCGUAUCGGGUACCGACAGCAGCCAAACUCCGAAUACCCGUGACGCGUAUCCCGGCAGUGAGUCGGCGGGGGAUAAGCUCCGUCGUCGAAAGGGAGACAGCCCAGAUCGUCGUCUAAGGUCCCCAAGCGCGUGCUAAGUGGGAAAGGAUGUGGAGUCGCAUAGACAGCCAGGAGGUUGGCUCAGAAGCAGCCACCCUUGAAAGAGUGCGUAACAGCUCACUGGUCUAGUGGUUCCGCGCCGACAAUGUAGCGGGGCUCAAGCACGCCACCGAAGACGCGGCAGCGUCCGUUUGGAUGCUGGGUAGGAGAGCGUCCCCAUCGGGGCGAAGCGGCGGCGCAAGCCUGCCGUGGACCGUUGGGGAGUGAGAAUGCAGACAUGAGUAGCGAGAGGCGGGUGCGAAUCCCGCCCGCUGGAUGACCAAGGGUUCCGGGGCCACGUUCGUCGUCCCCGGGUGAGUCGGGUCCUAAGGCGAGGCCGACAGGCGUAGUCGAAUGGAUGAACGGGCUGAUAUUCCCGUACCGGCAGCGAACCGAAACAACCGAGGCCUGGGGCGCUAACCUCCGGGUCCGUGCCGUCUCCCCUUUCGGGGGGUCGCGGCGCGGGCGCGUUGGGAUCCCCCCUCGUAGUAGGUCAGCGCAGGAGUGACGCAUCAGGGCAGCCGGCCGCGGAGGUGGUUUUCCGUGGUCAAGCGUUCGAGCCCGUCCCGCAGGCAAAUCCGCGGGGCGUCGGGGCGAGGCGUGAUGAUGGGGGCCUUACGGCCCGAAUCCGGUGAUCCGUGGUGCCGAGAAAAGCUUCGGCGUCAGGCGCGUUGCCGCCCGUACCCCAAACCGACACUGGUGGUCAGGUAGAGAAUACCAAAGCGAUCGAGCGAAUCCUGGUCAAGGAACUCGGCAAAUUGCUCCCGUGCCUUCGGCAUAAGGGAGACCCCCUGCGGUGAUGAGCGGCGGGGGGUGGCACAGGCCAGGGGGUAGCGACUGUUUACCAAAAACACAGGAGCGUGCGAAGGCGCAAGCCGCUGUAUACGCUCUGACGCCUGCCCGGUGCCGGAAGGUUAAGAGGAUCCGUCAGCUUUCUGCGAAGCGGUGAAUUCAAGCCCCGGUAAACGGCGGUGGUAACUAUAACCAUCCUAAGGUAGCGAAAUUCCUUGUCGGGUAAGUUCCGACCUGCACGAAUGGCGUAACGACUUCCCCACUGUCUCGACCAGGAGCUCGGCGAAAUUGCAGUACGAGUAAAGAUGCUCGUUAAGCGCAGAAGGACGAAAAGACCCCGGGACCUUUACUA